RNAcentral lists this ribosomal RNA (478 nucleotides) under uncultured bacterium. RNAcentral describes it as "partial 16S ribosomal RNA". It matches the Rfam family "Bacterial small subunit ribosomal RNA", at positions 28 to 523 of the family's 1533-position model. The record is from RNAcentral.
GACGAACGCUGGCGGCGUGCUUAACACAUGCAAGUCGAACGGUAAGGCCCUUCGGGGUACACGAGUGGCGAACGGGUGAGUAACACGUGGGUGAUCUGCCCUGCACUUCGGGAUAAGCCUGGGAAACUGGGUCUAAUACCGGAUAGGACCCUGGGAUGCAUGUCCUGGGGUGGAAAGCUUUUGCGGGGUGGGAUGAGCCCGCGGCCUAUCAGCUUGUUGGUGGGGUGAUGGCCGACCAAGGCGACGACGGGUAGCCGGCCUGAGAGGGUGACCCGCAAGCCUGGGACGGGGAUAGGGCCCAGACGCCUACGGGGGGCAGCAGUGGGGAAUGUGGCACAAUGGGCGCAAGCCUGAUGCAGCGACGCCGCGUGAGGGAUGACGGGCUUCGGGUUGUAAACCUCUUUCAGCACCGACGAAGCGCAAGUGACGGUAGGUGCAGAAGAAGGACCGGCCAACUACGUGCCAGCCGCCGCCGUAA